UACGGGAGGCAGCAGUGGGGAAUAUUGCACAAUGGGCGCAAGCCUGAUGCAGCCAUGCCGCGUGUAUGAAGAAGGCCUUCGGGUUGUAAAGUACUUUCAGUCGUGAGGAAGGUGUUAAGGUUAAUAACCUUAGCAAUUGACGUUAGCGACAGAAGAAGCACCGGCUAACUCCGUGCCAGCAGCCGCGGUAAUACGGAGGGUGCGAGCGUUAAUCGGAAUUACUGGGCGUAAAGGGCACGCAGGCGGUUAAUUAAGUUGGAUGUGAAAUCCCCGGGCUUAACCUGGGAAUGGCAUUCAAGACUGGUUAGCUAGAGUCUUGUAGAGGGGGUAGAAUUCCAUGUGUAGCGGUGAAAUGCGUAGAGAUGUGGAGGAAUACCGGUGGCGAAGGCGGCCCCUGGGACAAAGACUGACGCUCAUGUGCGAAAGCGUGGGGAGCAAACAGGAUUAGUACC
Molecule: ribosomal RNA, 452 nt
Filed under: uncultured bacterium
Lineage: Bacteria
Description: bacterial SSU rRNA
Rfam family: Bacterial small subunit ribosomal RNA
Source: RNAcentral